Molecule: long non-coding RNA, 1168 nt
Filed under: Heterocephalus glaber (naked mole-rat)
Lineage: Eukaryota; Metazoa; Chordata; Mammalia; Rodentia; Bathyergidae
Description: lncRNA (ENSHGLG00100037022.1)
Source: RNAcentral
AAAUACUUUAUUGUUUUAAUUUUUUUAGAAAUCAGCCUUUGUGUGACAUUUCAAACAUUUACAAACCUUUGAGAUAUUCUUUCAAAAAACAGUGUUAACAUCUCAGCCACUUUUGAUUAAAAUUUUACACACAAAGAAACAUAAUAGGAAUUGAAAAUUAUAAAUGCUAAAAGAAAAAUUCCAACAUGUUGUUGUUACUUUACACAUUUAUUCAACACAUAUAAAACCAAAGAGGAAACAUUUUCUUUCUUUCAUAAAAACAGAGUUUUCACUGGUUAAAACUGAAUUAAAAUCAUUUAUGUAUAAGGAGAACAAAUCUAAAUUACUUCCACUUUGAAAAAACACAAAACCAGCUUAUUCAUUUCUAUCCAUUCAAGUCAUAGACCCUGUUAUUUUGACAAUGUUCCACUAUUUAGUCUACAAGACAGAAGAGACAUCUCCUUAAAAUAAGAAGACUGAACAAUGCAAAAAGUACAUAGUGUUUAACAUAAGGCACAUUUCCAAAAGAAAAAUACUACAUAAGCUGUAAUAAAAUUACAUUUGUUUUGGGUAAAGCAACAAGGCUUACAGUGUAAGAACAUUAAGUAGUUGUAGGUAACCUCAUGUAAUUCUAUACUACUGCAAUUAGUAGCCUCCUCAAGAAUUAAGAGCAAUUUUUACAACACAACAGUUUGUCUUCUUGGAAGUGACACUAAUUAACAGCAGUGGAGGGAAAAUCACUGGUUGCUUCAAGCUCUCAAAAAAUGAAUCAGUUAUUGCACAGUAAAUACCUCAUAGAGGUCAGUGUUGUAAGAAGCUAGUUUGAAGUAAUAUGUUAUUUAUAAGUUGGUUAUGUCUAGAAAUCUUCAAGUUUUAUAAUUAAUUCUACGUAGGGAAUCAAUUGGAAAAAUAUUGACAUAUGAAUAAAUAUUAGGCAUUUCAAAUCGCUACAAUUUUGGUAGUUGAGAAAAGAAAUAGCAAAGUGCCUAAGUUUCUACAUGUUUUUAACAGACAGCUGCAGAAGGGUCACACACUGUACACUGUAUAUAGCAGCCCAAUUCUGCCAAAAGCAGCUUGUGAAGAAGAUAAGCCCACCGUGUACAUCACCAAUAACUCCAAAGUUAACCAACUAGCACGGUCCUGGCCAAUCUGAAAAAGGAGAAAAGCCACCAUUAAACCACCUUUAAAU